Molecule: ribosomal RNA, 497 nt
Filed under: uncultured bacterium
Lineage: Bacteria
Description: partial 16S ribosomal RNA
Rfam family: Bacterial small subunit ribosomal RNA
Source: RNAcentral
GAUGAACGCUGGCGGCGUGCCUAAUACAUGCAAGUCGAGCGAACAGACGAGGAGCUUGCUCCUCUGACGUUAGCGGCGGACGGGUGAGUAACACGUGGAUAACCUACCUAUAAGACUGGGAUAACUUCGGGAAACCGGAGCUAAUACCGGAUAAUAUAUUGAACCGCAUGGUUCAAUAGUGAAAGACGGUUUUGCUGUCACUUAUAGAUGGAUCCGCGCCGCAUUAGCUAGUUGGUAAGGUAACGGCUUACCAAGGCAACGAUGCGUAGCCGACCUGAGAGGGUGAUCGGCCACACUGGAACUGAGACACGGUCCAGACUCCUACGGGAGGCCGCAGUAGGGAAUCUUCCGCAAUGGGCGAAAGCUUGACGGAGCAACGCCGCGUGAGUGAUGAAGGUCUUCUGAUCGUAAAACUCUGUUAUUAGGGAAGAACAAAUGUGUAAGUAACUAUGCACGUCUUGACGGUACCUAAUCAGAAAGCCACGGCUAACUACGUG